UAGGGAAUCUUCGGCAAUGGGGGCAACCCUGACCGAGCAACGCCGCGUGAGUGAAGAAGGUUUUCGGAUCGUAAAGCUCUGUUGUAAGUCAAGAACGAGUGUGAGAGUGGAAAGUUCACACUGUGACGGUAGCUUACCAGGAAGGGACGGCUAACUACGUGCCAGCAGCCGCGGUAAUACGUAGGUCCCGAGCGUUGUCCGGAUUUAUUGGGCGUAAAGCGAGCGCAGGCGGUUUGAUAAGUCUGAAGUUAAAGGCUGUGGCUCAACCAUAGUUCGCUUUGGAAACUGUCAAACUUGAGUGCAGAAGGGGAGAGUGGAAUUCCAUGUGUAGCGGUGAAAUGCGUAGAUAUAUGGAGGAACACCGGUGGCGAAAGCGGCUCUCUGGUCUGUAACUGACGCUGAGGCUCGAAAGCGUGGGGAGCGAACAGGAUUAGAUACCCUGGUAGUCCACGCCGUAAACGAUGAGUGCUAGGUGUAGGAGGUAUCGACCCCUUCUGUGCCGGAGUUAACGCAAUAAGUACCCCGCCUGGGGAGUACGACCGCAAGGUUG
RNAcentral lists this ribosomal RNA (550 nucleotides) under uncultured bacterium. RNAcentral describes it as "bacterial SSU rRNA". It matches the Rfam family "Bacterial small subunit ribosomal RNA", at positions 355 to 896 of the family's 1533-position model. The record is from RNAcentral.